GUGUCAGCAGCCGCGGUAAGACGAAGGAUGCAAGCGUUAUCCGGAUUCAUUGGGUUUAAAGGGAGCGUAGGUGGCCUUAUAAGUCAGUGGUGAAAUCCCGCAGCUUAACUGUGGAAUUGCCAUUGAUACUGUAGGGCUUGAGUACAGAUGCCGUUGGCGGAAUAUGACAUGUAGUGGUGAAAUACAUAGAGAUGUCAUAGAACACCGAUUGCGAAGGCAGCUGACGAAACUGUAACUGACACUGAGGCUCGAAAGUGUGGGGAUCAAACAGGAUUAGAUACCCGGGUAGUCC
RNAcentral lists this ribosomal RNA (292 nucleotides) under uncultured bacterium. RNAcentral's name for it is "partial 16S ribosomal RNA". It matches the Rfam family "Bacterial small subunit ribosomal RNA", at positions 505 to 796 of the family's 1533-position model. The record is from RNAcentral.